UUUCCGUAGGUGAACCUGCGGAAGGAUCAUUGUAGAGUUCCUUUUCAAAUAGAAGUUGUACCAAUACCCAUUGAGAACUAAUCGUUUUUGCUGUCAGCACUUGCGUUGUUUAGAUGGGUUCCCUUUGUUGCCUUCAUCUUUCUUCAUAAGUAUAGUAAAAAUAAAAGACCGGCAUGAUUUGUGCCAAGGAUAGUUGUUGUUGAGGUACAUUGCCAUCUUUUUGAUGUCUUUGUGUUACUCUACGAGCAUAUAUGUCUGAGCAUAUACGCCUGAAUGACUCCUGGCAAUGGAUAUCUUGGCUCUC
Molecule: unclassified non-coding RNA, 304 nt
Filed under: root metagenome
Description: partial contains small subunit ribosomal RNA, internal transcribed spacer 1, and 5.8S ribosomal RNA
Source: RNAcentral